Molecule: non-coding RNA, 430 nt
Organism: Cavia porcellus (domestic guinea pig)
Lineage: Eukaryota; Metazoa; Chordata; Mammalia; Rodentia; Caviidae
Source: the annotation of a RefSeq genome assembly
UUUCUUCACAUUGAGAAGUCAGGAUUCAGGGACUCUGGAGUCUCUGAAAAUGCACUGUUCUCCAGGACCAGUGACUGUGCUCUUCUUAGUGACUGGAGCAGUCAGUGGAGACUCAGUGAUCCAGACAGAAGACCGAAUGACCCUCUUUGAAAGAGAUUCCUUAACUGUGGAUUGUUCCUAUGAGAACACACAGUAUCCGAAUCUAUUCUGGUAUGUCCAGUAUCCUGGAGAAGGUCUACAGCUUCUCUUGAAAGCCAGGACAGCCAACGAGCAGGGAAGAAACAAAGAAUUUGAAGCCACAUAUGAUAAAGCAACUGGCUCCUUCCACUUGGAGAAAGCCUCGGUGAAAGAGUCAGACUCGGCUGUGUACUACUGUGCUCUGAGUGACACAGUGGCAGGAACUGCAUGGGGAGCUGAGCACAAACUCUGA